This is a long non-coding RNA of Orcinus orca (killer whale), 10865 nucleotides long. RefSeq lists it as uncharacterized. The record is from RefSeq and is a predicted model, not a curated record. The transcript is spliced from 4 exons. NCBI's taxonomy places the organism in Eukaryota, Metazoa, Chordata, Mammalia, Artiodactyla, Delphinidae.
CGGGCCUCUCACUGUUGUGGCCUCUCCCGUUGCAGAGCACAGGCUCCAGACGCGCAGGCUCAGCGGCCAUGGCUCAUGGGCCCAGCCGCUCCGCGGCAUGUGGGAUCUUCCCGGACCGGGGCACGAACCCGCAUCCCCUGCAUCGGCAGGCGGACUCUCAACCACUGCACCACCAGGGAAGUCCCACUCAGCAUCUUUUUGCUUGAUUUGUGACCCAAGUAUGAUCUAUCCUGGAGAAUGUUCCAUGAGCACUUGAGAAGAGACAUCAAUAUCUUUCCUUCUAGAAAAUAUCUCCCAGAUAGAAGUGGAUUUCCAGAGCUAAAUGAAUAAUACAACCAAAAGUACCUGCUGACUGAACAUAAGAAAUAUCCCUGAAUCCAAAGGGCAGCUUAGAUAGAGAAGUGAAAUGAAGCUCAACUGAAGGCAGAAAUGGAACAAAUGCUCAUCUGAGGCACCAGGGAUGGAUUAACACAAGAGAUGCCUGGAGAUGGGAGGAUGAAGAAAAUGUAUGACGCUGCCCUACUCAAAGCUGCUGAGAAAACAUCACAGUAAUGCCCGUCCUUGCCUGUGACCUGUUUUAGCCUCAGCUUCUCUUUGGAUACAAAGGUAUUUCUUCAAGGAUUUUACACAACCUUGGCUAUUCCGGGCUGUGUAUUUGAAGCCUUGUUCAUUAUCACAAUCUUCUUUUAAUGCCAAAUGAAAACCAUUUUUAUGAUCAGAUAGAUGAACUUCUAAGGUCAGCAUCCCCGUCUCAAUUACUGAUGUUUCCAAAAUAUACAAGUGAUUCUUUAGUUUUAUAAACCUCCACCUGCUUCUUCCUUUCAUGUAAUUCACCUCUGUUCAGUUAUUUUGCGCCACCCCUGCAGUGUUUUCAAAUAUAUUUCAAAUCCCCCAAGCAAACCUAUUUCAGUUGAUUGGCUUCAGAGAACUCUAAUGCUGGCCAGGCAUUUUGCUGCAACCCCAUUUAGACUCAGCAGGAAGAGAAGAUUUAAAAGGCAGAUUACGUUUUUAGCUUUUUAAAACCUGCUUUAUUAGAGAGGCUAAAAGCCACAGUGGUGGUAAGCUGAAUUCUUUUGAAAUACAAGCAACUUCAAGACAUCUAGCGAGCAGUUCCUCGCCUGUGGGGCUCCUCCCUUUGGGUUUCAAUGAUGGCAGGGACCAGCUGGCUCCAGGCAUUAUUCUUAAGGGUCUUUGUGGGUCCAACAACAGAGUCCAUAAAAGCACCAAAGAGGUUUCAUUUAAGGGUCAGAGGUCUUUUAAAAGCAGCUCACCGAGAUUCCCACCCCUGGACUUCUAGUGGGCCAUUUUGUGUGAAAGGUUUGGUUAGGUACUGGCCUCCAUUAAUUGUAGAGGUUGGCCAAGGGACAGUAGAUAGAGAGCCAUGGUGAGGAUGUGAAAAGCCACUUAGAGAAGAAGAGAGAAUACCUGCAGGCCAGAGUCCUAUGGCAGGCAGCUAGGAGUCUAAAUGGAUGGGUAGAUAGAUAGGUAGAUAGAUAGAUAGAUAGAUAGAUAGAUAGAUAGAUAGAUAGAUAGAUAGAAACCAUAGCACAUAUCAUCUUAAAACAAGUUAUCAGUGCUUUCUCUUUCACUUAUUUGGAGCUCUGUUUGAAUUAUACCAGGAGCUGCUUGUAAAGUGGCUGAGGGCCUAUGAAAGGAGGUGGGAAUAAUGAAAUUUCAAGAGAGUCAAUGAGAUUCCAUAAGGUUUUGUUUAGAGGUUUUGAGAUGAGAUGAACACUACUGGGUUUCAAGAAUGUUUAUGGAGAGAGUGCACUGAGAAGCAGCCUGGGUCCUGUUUAAAGGCAAGAUACAGGCUUAAACCAGAGAUGUAGCUAAUCAGAGAGGACAAAUACAUGGCAUCUGUGCUGCCACCCACUCCCUCUGUGGCCAAAGAGAAUAUCAACAACUAAUCGUAACUCCUGUGCCAAGCCCAGCCGGCCUUAGAAUCCUUCUUAGCAGGCUGCUGCAGUCCUGGAUUAGACUGCGGAUACUCCUAAAAAUGUCUAUGGAUAAGUUUAGAACCCAACACAAGUUUCCGUGGGUGGGGCAAAGAGGUGACAGAACUGAGUAGAGCCAGCACAAUGGUGACUAUCAGGGUGUCCUGUGGAGGCUCCAUGUGAGCAGGGGCAGCAGGUAUUCAGCUUCAGAUGUUACCCCACAGGAAUCUGGGACCCGUGUGACCAGAUUUUUCAAGAGUAAAUAGAAAUCCGAUUUUGACUUGGAAUCUCUUGAUUUUUGAAUGUUGGAUCCAAAAAGAGAGGGGAAAAUGAGUGCUGUGUGGGCCAAACCGAAUACAUGUGCAGAAAAAAAUAAAAUUAAAAUACACCAAUGGGCUAGCAUAGCUUCCAGGCUUAGAGGAACUGAAGGAAGGUUCCAGUUUGCUCUUAUCUUGCCUGAAUUACCUUGUUACCAUUCGCAGCUUAAAAACAAAAGAAAACCAUCUCACCAGGGCUUGAAGAGGGCAUGUGACAAAUUGCAGAAAAUUAUAGCCAGCACUUUGUGGUUGCUGAGCUCCCCCAGGUUGCACACUAGCAGAGUCCUGAAAAAGUAGGCAAACUUCAAAGAUCAAACUUUCCACGGCUUCAGAAGGGACCUUUCAACCAGCUUGCUUUUGUCCAGAUCCUCCCUUACCCCAACGCUUUUUUUUCAAUCACAAAGCAGUUGUCUCAAAGCUCAGAUUCUGAUAUUGUCAGAGGCUAAUGACAAUGUCAGAGGCAUUUGCUCGUUGCUUAUUUCAGUAUUCCAGCCCUCUCAGUCUUGGUCUCCCUUUGGGCUGUUUACAUACAAUUUCCUUCUGGGUGGAACUUUGUUUUUCCUUUCCUUCUUUUGAGGCUGUUGUUUUUUCUUAAAAUAGGAGGUCAUUUCAGGCAGAAAUGUGUUUUCGUCUCCUUGCUUCCUCUAUGGCUGGGACUGGGGCCCUUUUGGAAAGAAGGAAAUUUCCACUUUGUUUACAAGGAGGGAUUGGUUUUCUUUGGAUAUCCCAUUAAUUUGCUGGGUAGGGAGUUUGGAGUUCCUAGCAUUAUCUAAGGAGAUCAGGAAAGUUAUUUUAAAGGCAUUUCUUUGAUUUUUUUUUUUUAAUGUUAUACACUCUGCUUUGCUUAUUCUUUUUCUCAAACCAGUUCAUGUUUUUCCAAUGAAUCUAAGCUUCCCAUGUGUCUGUCCCUGCAUUUCAGCUCUCUACAUUGUCUUCCCAAGAUCUUUAAGCUUUAGUUGUCAAUCUGGAUAAUUUGACCAGCAUUCUGGAACAAUUCCAGCAUGAGUCAUAGUUUUAUACUCUGGGUUGGAAAAGUAAUUUUCCCUUUCCCUUCAAAAUGCAGCCAUGACCCAUUACUGUUACUGGAAAAGACAGACUUGAUCAUGCAUACCUUUCUUCACCCCAUCCUCGCAUCUUCACAGGGUACAUCUGUCAAGCAAUCCAUCGCCCACGUCAAAUAAUGUAAAUAUGCACCCAAGUGGGUGUUCUAGGUACCAUUGAGAGUUUAACCUGGACCUCUGGAAGAAUACAUUCUAAGACAGAACAUUAACUGAAAAAAAUUUUCCAAGCAUCCCAAAGCCAAACAGAAUAAAAUUGCUCUAGGUGAGGCUUGUGAUGACUUUAGUAGGUUUGAUGCAAAAGAAAUAUUAAUUUUAAAAUAAUUUAUUCAAGGCCACUCCCAAUAUGUGAUUUAUUUAAAUGACCAUGUUCACUAACAAAUAAUGCCCCAAAACCUCAUUAAGUGCAGUCAAACUAUCAGAUCUCAAUUUUGAUUUUUCAGUGCCAUUCCAUUUCAUAAAUGCUUUGUUUAUUCUAACCCUGAGAACAAAGGUAAAUAACGAAAAAUAGGAUAGGUGAUAAGAAGGAUUGAGAUCAGGAAAUAUGUGACCAAAGUGGCUAAGGAUGGAGGUUAGGACCAUGGAUUUGGAGCCAGACAGGUGUGGGAUGGGUUCUCAGCCACAUUGGUACUAGCUAAGUGGCCUUAGGCAAGUUACUCAUUUCAUCUAUUUAAUUUUCUCGUCUGUAAAAUAAAGAUAAUAAUAGUACCUGCUUCACAGAGUUGUUGUGGAUUAGUAUGUUAAAGACAUAGUUAAGUGCUCACCACCAACAACGCAGAAAUAAUUCUAAUGUUUAUAGGGCACUUACUAUGCAUCAGGUACUGCCUUUACUUGAAUAACUCUAUGAAGUAGGUAUUAUUAUUAUUAUCUUAAUUUUACAGAUGAGAACAUUAGGGACCCAGAGAAGUUAAGUAACUUAUCCAGAGCCACAGAGCUACUAAGUAACCAAGCCAGGAUUCCAACCCAAGUGGACUGGCUUUGAGCCUAAGCCCUUAACCACUAUGUAGAUUUUAUUAUUAACGUCUUUUUAAUUUGUAAUGAGUCUUCAUUAUUCUAAGUGAUGUUCUAAAGGUUAUUUCUUCGUUAAUUCAAUUUCUUACGUUGCCUGUGACUGUAUAUAUAGUGUUGUACACUGAACAGAGAAGUUCAAAGUGUCAAUUCUGUUCUCCAAAAUAUAAUAAUAAUCUCUCUCUCUCUCUCCCCACCCCCUGCCUUCAUACGCACACAAGCACACACACAUAUACACGCAGAGAUUUGGUUAUCCUCAUUGGGCUCUACUUCCUAAAUCAGAGAAGUAAAUGAUGUAUUUCAAAAAUAUUGUCUCCAGUAUAAAAAAAGAAAGGGGUUUCUAAUGCAUUUUUGCCUUUUAGUUAACCAGGAAUAAGUUAUUUAAAACCUCUUAAUCCUCUUAGCAUUCUGGUUAACAGAGAUUUUUCUGUACAACAAAAUAAAUACAUAUGUCUGAUAUUAUAGAGUCAAAUAGCUUCAAUUCCAAAAGGUACAAACUGCUCUAAUUUUUAGUUUUUAGAGAAGCGAAUAUUUUAAAGUAAAUUGUUGGCGAAAGUCCAAUUUUCAUUGUUCUGAGCAAUGAAAUUUGAAGAAUUGGAAGGAGUGGUAAAGUAUGACAUCAGAAACAGAUAUAUGAAAAAAGGCCAGAAGUUUGUCCCAGUAACAUAUUCUAAUAAUCAAGAAAUUAAACAUCACAGGAUGUGUUUGCAUAUGUACAACAAUAUGCUGUCCUCGAAUAAAGCUUACAUUUUACUUUACCACGUGUGACCUCAUUUGAUUUCUAUAGGAGAAAUAAUAUUUAAUAUUAGGUGAGAAGAGAGUAGAAAUAGUACCAAUUCAUUUUAUGUAGGAGGAAACUGAGGCUCAGAGAUCCAGUUGCUUGACCUAGGUCACACAGCUGGUUACUUGCAAAGCCAAGACUUAUCAUUUCCUGCUAUUUCUGCUAAAUCACAAUUCCCACUGGCACUUUUGCUGAACUUAAUUUGACAGUUUAUACUAAGACCAGGAUGGCUGUUCCCAAGGUGUGGGAACCAGGAAUAAUUUCUGUGUAGAAAAGUCCAGAAAAAGAGAUGGUAUAAUGCAUAUGGGUACACCACUCCCAAACCAGUUCAGAAGGCCCAAGGCAGUGUUGGAAGAAAAGAGGUCACUGGCAGGAGAGAGAGACAUAAUGAAGGGCAAGUGUUCCAAUUUUCCCACAUCUGGCUAUGCUCAUCCCACAUUUUAUUUUGUUUUAAAACUACUGUCUCUCCAGUCAAACUGCAGGGAUUGAAUCCUGGCUCCACUAUUCACUAACCUCUUUUUGCCUCAUUUCUUUGUUGGUAGAAUAGGAUCCAUAAUAGUACUGCUUUUGUGGGGUUCAUGUGAGAAUUCAACAGGAAAGCUUAUGUAGAAGAUUUAGCAUUGUAACUGAUGUGUGGUGAGUACUGAAAGAACACCAACAAUUGUCAUCAUAAUUAUUUCAUGCAGAGGUAUAAAUGGAGGAGCCAGAAUUUGAACCUAGUCAGCCAAACUCCAGAGACCAUUUUCUUAACCACAGUCCUAUACCACCUUUGUACUUGCUCUGUCCUUCCGUCUGGAAAGCACUUUUCCUAGGUACAUAUCGACGUGGCUCCCUUCCUUUCUCCACUCAGGCCCCUGCUCAAAUGUCACUUCCUCUGAAUGACCUUUCCUGGCUGCCUGAUCUAAAACAGUGCCCCUUGUGACUCUCUAUGCCUUUAAUCUGCUUCAUUUUUUUUUAUCACACUCAUAGCAACCUGAUACAAGAUUGAAUAUUAAUUUGAUUGUUCAUGGAAGGCUUUCUCCACCAUUAGAAAGCAAACUCCAUGAAGGUAGGGAGCUUGGUUUGGCUCACAUCCGUAACCUUAUUGCCUAGAAUAUGUCCAAUUAUUUGUUGCAUACAUGUAUACAUUAAUAAGGAAAACACUCAUUAGCAGCAGCAGCUAACACAUUGAAACACUAUCAACAGAUGAACCAAAAUAUGGGUAAGAUCUGGUUUCUACUCUUAAGGGACUUGCACUUCAGCUGGGAAGGGGCUGUGGAAAGGUGGACAGAAACACGCCCAGCCACUAUAAUAGGGCAUGCCAGGCUGGUGAGUGCUGCCAGACCUCUGGGCACUUAUAUCCUGAGUCUUAUCUUCUUGCUAAGGUGCUGACUUCUCCACCAAGUCAGUCUGAUAGUCUAACCUUCCCAAAUGAAAAGUUCUGGAAGCAAAUCUCAUAAAAUCAAAUGAGAUAAUUUCGGAAAGCCAUUUCAGAAGAGUUUAAGUGCUCAACCCCAUUGUCUCUAUGAAAUCAGACAUAUCAUUCUCUUGGAGGUGACAUUCCCCAGAGAGCUGCAGAUAAGGUACGUUGAAGUCUACUCAAAAUACAUUUCUUCUCGGUCUAAUCUACCCCCAAGAGUAAACUGGGGAAGUGGAUACUUUACAGUUGCUAAAGGUCCUGGGAGAGUGAAAAACAAAAUAGGCACUCAGCCUCAUUCAGCCCAAACUACUGGACCUUGUCUCCCGUGUGUGAGUCAUUAAUCAAUCCCAUUAAGUUCUAAUCCUUUGCCAAGCUAAGAAAACACAAUCCAAACAGUAGCAAACAUUUCCUCCCCUUGCCACUUACCCCUAAAUAGGAAGAGCAGCCUUCUAAAAACUUCAGUCUUCCUGAGAUAAGCAGGUCUGCAAAAUGUCCGUAGGAUUUUCCGGAGAGAAUAUGUGCCACAUUCGAUGAAGUGAGAGAACACUGCUUGAUUCUGACCACUCACACUCAAAAGUAUUUCCAUAGCCCAGAUAAAGCAAUGCAGAGCUACACAGGAUGACAUGACUAAAAUAAAACAAAUCAUUUAAAGCAUGAUUUCCCGCUGAGUGGUAUUGUUAGCCGUCCCAUGGUGGAUAACUGUUAGCUAACACAGAACAGACCCCAGGCUCUUGAAUAGCAAAUCCUUUUAUAUGACAAAUGACACUGUGUUGAUGAAUGGUGACCACAGGAAAACAGCAUGAUAUAAUGGAAGACUACACUGUAAAAAAAAAAAAAAAAAAACGACUACACUGUACUUCAUCAGAGAAGAUCACCUUGAUCAGGUGUGAUGGACCAAAGGGAUAAAUAGCCACUGGGACAGUCAAAUCCACACUCCCAAGCCAGGGCAUAGCAGGGGCCUGAUGUGGUUUAUUUAAAGGGCAACACAACACAAUGGAACAUGAUUGGUCAAGGGUCUGGUAUAUGCAACGUUAAGGGUUAGGGGUUAAAGAGAUAAAGAUGAACACAACACAUGCCUGCUAUUAAGGAAGACGAAAGUACUAACUUAAAACCUUAUUUAAUUUGGUUUUUAUAAGAAUCUAGUAGGGUAGACAGAGCAGUUCUAUAAACCCCAUUUACAGAUAAUGAACCUAAGGCUCAAAGUGAUAAGUGAUGUGAUCAAGUCUUACCCUGAGUGAGGUCUGGAGCUGGGACUUGGCUCUGAGUCCUGGGCUCUUACUACUAAAUCACCCUGCAUCUGGCUCCAUCUUUAGACAACUGGAAAAAAGGAAGCCUUCCUUCAAACCUAAUCCUGAGGUAUGUUAGAAUUUGACAGCUCUAAACUUUUAACCACUUCAAUACAUCAUUGCAAAGAUUAAUAACUUUCUUUCAUAAAACUGUAGUAUACUCACCUGAUCAAAAUAGCCAGAUGAUCUCAAAACAGAAGCUCUGGGCUUCCCUGGUGGCGCAGUGUUUAAGAAUCUGCCUGCCAAUGCAGGGGACACAGGUUUGAGCCCUGGCCCGGGAAGAUCCCACAUGCCGCGGAGCAACUAAGCCCAUGAGCCACACCUACUGAGCUUGCACUCUAGAGCCUGUGAGCCACAACUACUGAGCCCGAGUGCCACAACUACUGAAGCUCGCGUGCCUAGAGCCUGAGCUCUGUAACAAGAGAAGCCACCCAAUGAGAAGCCCACGCACCGCAAGGAAGAGUAGCCCCCGCUCGCUGCAACUAGAGAAAAGCCUGCACGCAGCAAUAAAGACCCAAGGCAGCCAAAAAUAAAAAUAAAUUUAAAAAAACAAAAACAAAACAAAAAAAACAAGCAAACAAACAGAAGCUCUGCUUGCAUUCACAGUACAGUUCAGGAUCCAAGGAUGGCAGGCUGGAUCCAAGGUGCCAGGGAGAUCAGAGGGUUCCUGCCCUGGGUUGGAUCCUAAAGAGUUUUAAGUGGCCCAGAAUUAGUACGUUUACUCUCUAUGGUUUAUAGUUGCAUCUGUCUUUCACCUCCUUUACCUAGAUUCCUUUCAGUGAGCUUUUACUGCACUUUUGGUUCAAAUGCCAUUUCCUGACAUCUUUGUUCAUCAGAAGGUGUUGUGCCUUCAUCAUUGUGAUCAUAGUGGCACUUUUAUCUUUACUUCUAUUUCUAGUGAAACAAUGUUUUCUACCCUGUAUUACUGUUAGUUAUGUAUAUUUUUAUGUCACCUCUGAACAUAAAAGUCCUUGAAAACAGUAUCUGUAAUCGAAUAUUAUGUCUUAACUAACCAGCACAGAGUCUUGAAUUUGGUACGUAUCCAGUAUGUUGAAUAAAUGAAUGAAUCCUUCUCUGGUUUCCACUCACCCCUAUAUCUUCUUCCAAGGACUUCUGCCUGACUUGAGUCCAGUCUUAUCUAUAGAAGGUCUCUUUUUACUAGUUGUCCUUUUGAUUUCUCCAGCUCCAUGAUAUUUGUUUAUUUUAAGCAUUUCUUGAGCCCAUCUUGAGGAAAAGUUUAUAAAAUUUCCAAUUCUUUCAAAAUGUUACUGAUGAUCCAAUCAAACCAGGAUUGUCAUGAGUAAAGAAAAAUUGCCUAUCAGUAUUUGAAGCAGAUGCUUUUCCCCAGAGCCUUGAAAUGCCCCAGUGAGCAAAGGCUUUAGAUUUCCCUCAGUCCUGAAUCUUUGGAUCUACUGGAAAAUUAGGAAUUCCUGGCAAAAUACAACAUAAGGAGAGAGAUGGGAGUUGGGAGAGAUAGUAGAUCACGUAAUUCAAUUUCAUCAUUUUACAUAUGAAAAAUAGAAGUCCAAAAUGGUCACGUAAUGUAUCCAAACUUACCCACCUCCUUAGUGAAAGGCCCAGAACUAAAACCCAGUUGUCCUACCCACUGGUCCUCUGGGGUAUUUUUUUUUUUAAUCUACCAUCUCAUACUAAUAUUUUAUUUCCUGUUUUUAUUGGAUUGGCUUGAAUCCUUGAAUCCUCCUCCUGUUCUCAUGCCUGUCCAAAGCACUAGGCCACUGAACUAACAGCCCAGUCCUCAUGGCUCCAAGAAGCCCCAUCUAGUGAGAAGGCACUCAUCUCACCCCUUUGAGCAGUACCAUUUUCCCUACUUAGACAGGAGAUCCCUAUUUUAAUCUGUCUGCCUGGAGUCCUACAAUAACUAGCAGAGCUAAGAAAUCAUGCCCAGACUUAUGUUGGCCAGGUAGAAACUACUCUACAACCUGUGGGUCAGGUAACAUUACACUCACUCUGGCAUACCUUGAUUUAAGAAUCAAAUAGUUCUAUCAGAGUCCUUUGUGAUUAUAUUACCAUCUUAGCUACCUCAUUUUUCUAGUCCUACCAUCUAUUUUGUAAUAGAAAUAUGCCUUUCUCAUAUGUAGUUUUAUAUUUAUUCACUUUGAGAUGUGAUUAUUUUGUGGAAUAUUACUUGAAUUUAAAAGAAAAACCUAUUUAUGUAAAAAGGAUGAAUUUAUCAAAUUCAAUAUAUUAGAGCAAGCUCUGAUCAAAAGAGCCCUAGAUCUGAAAUCAGAAGACUGGAGUUAAAUUCCAGCCCCUCACCAGCUCUGUGACUUUUGUCAAUGACUGAACCUCUCUCAGCCCCAGUGUGCCCAUUUGUAGAAUGGAGCAAAUAAUCCAAUGGCAUAGAGUCUGGGAAGUUGAGUGAAAAGUCAUUCAAUGGGUCAGGUGUGCUGCCUGUUAUGGUACAUAGGCUCUCACUACAUUUUGACUGAAUCUGAAAAUGCAUGAUUUUCAGGAACAUAAGAGCAAUUUAUCGGUUUCUUUCACUGUUGCUCUGGUUUCUCUCUUCAUCAGCACUUUCCAUAGUGUUUUAAAAAUCAAAUUUAAAUGAAAUGGAAAGAUAUCAUGGUGCAUAUUACCAAAAAACUUAUUACAUAUGUACCUCUUAAGAGCUUAGUAAAGUAUUCAAGAGAAAUAGAUUAAAUAGUUGUUAAAUUCAGGCAGGACUUCCCUGGUGGCAGAGUGGUUAAGAAUCCGCCAGCCAAUGCAGGGAACACGGGUUCGAUCCCUGGUCCGGGAAGAUCCCACACGCCACAGAGCAACUAAGCCUGUGCGCCACAACUACUGAGCCUGCGCUCUAGAGCCCUCGAGCCACAACUACUGAAGUUCGUGUGCCCUAGAGCCCACAUGUCACAACUACUGAGCCUGCAUGCUGCAACUACUGAAGCUGGCAUGCCUAUAGCCCACGCUCCGCAACAGGAGAAGCCACCACAUUGAGAAGCCUGUGCAUCACAACAAAGAGUAGCUCCUGCUCGCCGCAACUAGUUUGGACAUCAUUCAGAGAAAAACAUUAAACAGUGUGAAUACAAAAUCUUUCAGAGUGUAUUAGAAAAUAAAAAAUCUA